This 274-nucleotide ribosomal RNA is filed under the name uncultured bacterium. Its description in RNAcentral is "partial 16S ribosomal RNA". It matches the Rfam family "Bacterial small subunit ribosomal RNA", at positions 523 to 796 of the family's 1533-position model. The record is from RNAcentral.
AUACGGAGGGUGCAAGCGUUACUCGGAAUCACUGGGCGUAAAGCGCGCGCAGGCGGGCUGAUAAGUUGGAUGUGAAAGCCUACGGCCCAACCGUAGAACUGCAUCCAAAACUGUCAGUCUAGAGUCUGGGAGGGGAAGAUGGAAUUAGUUGUGUAGGGGUAAAAUCCGUAGAGAUAACUAGGAAUACCAAAAGCGAAGGCGAUCUUCUGGAACAGUACUGACGCUGAGGCGCGAAAGCGUGGGGAGCAAACAGGAUUAGAUACCCUAGUAGUCC